AACUAACUAGGAUUCCCUCAGUAGCUGCGAGCGAACAGGGAUAAGCCCAGCACCGAAUCCCGCGGCCGAUACCGGACGCCGGGAAAUGUGGUGUUCGGGAGGGUCCAUUAUCCCGAGAUUAUGCGGUGCGUCCAAGUCCUUCUUGAACGGGGCCACAGCCCAUAGAGGGUGCCAGGCCCGUAGCGACCGCCGCUGAUCGCGGGAGGAUCUCUCCUCAGAGUCGGGUUGCUUGAGAGUGCAGCCCUAAGUGGGUGGUAAACUCCAUCUAAGGCUAAAUAUGACCACGAGACCGAUAGCGAACAAGUACCGUGAGGGAAAGUUGAAAAGCACUUUGAAGAGAGAGUUCAAGAGUACGUGAAACCGUUUAGGGGUAAACCUGAGAAACCCGAAAGGUCGAAGGGAGAAAUUCAUUCGCGUUUCGACGCAGGCGUCGAACGGUUGUGCGACGGGAAACGCGUUCGCGUGUUAUCCGCACCUUCCGUUCGUCGAACCGGCAGCGAACGCGUGCACUUUUCUCCUGGUAGGACGUCGCGAUCCGUUGGGUGUCGGUCUACGGCUCGCGGUGGAGCCCGUUCGUCGCGCGCGUCUCAACAACGCCGUGCGAACGGACCCGCGUGUCCCGGCCGACUCGCUCGACGGUAUACGAAAGGUUUAAGGCCGCUCUCGUUUUGGCGAGCGUUCGACUCGCGGCAAGCGCGUCAGAUGCGUCGGCGAUCGGACCUAGUGCCGAUUCUGACCUCUGAUGACUGUUGGCUGCGAUGUUCUCUCUCGAACAGACC
This 779-nucleotide ribosomal RNA is filed under the name Curculio yanoi. RNAcentral's name for it is "eukaryotic LSU rRNA". It matches the Rfam family "Eukaryotic large subunit ribosomal RNA", at positions 63 to 607 of the family's 3401-position model. The record is from RNAcentral. Lineage: Eukaryota; Metazoa; Arthropoda; Insecta; Coleoptera; Curculionidae.